This 491-nucleotide ribosomal RNA is filed under the name uncultured bacterium. RNAcentral describes it as "partial 16S ribosomal RNA". It matches the Rfam family "Bacterial small subunit ribosomal RNA", at positions 29 to 507 of the family's 1533-position model. The record is from RNAcentral.
GUGAACGCUGGCGGUAGGCCUAACACAUGCCAGUCGAACGGCAGCACAGUAAGAGCUUGCUCUUACGGGUGGCGAGUGGCGGACGGGUGAGGAAUACAUCGGAAUCUACUUUUUCGUGGGGGAUAACGUAGGGAAACUUACGCUAAUACCGCAUACGACCUACGGGUGGAAGCAGGGGAUCUUCGGACCUUGCGCGAUUGAAUGAGCCGAUGUCGGAUUAGCUAGUUGGCGGGGUAAAGGCCCACCAAGGCGACGAUCCGUAGCUGGUCUGAGAGGAUGAUCAGCCACACUGGAACUGAGACACGGUCCAGACUCCUACGGGAGGCAGCAGUGGGGAAUAUUGGACAAUGGGCGCAAGCCUGAUCCAGCCAUACCGCGUGGGUGAAGAAGGCCUUCGGGUUGUAAAGCCCUUUUGUUGGGAAAGAAAAGCAGCAGGUUAAUACCCCGCUGUUCUGACGGUACCCAAAGAAUAAGCACCGGCUAACUUCGUG